This 1368-nucleotide ribosomal RNA is filed under the name Bordetella bronchiseptica. Its description in RNAcentral is "bacterial LSU rRNA". It matches the Rfam family "Bacterial large subunit ribosomal RNA", at positions 1563 to 2925 of the family's 2925-position model. The record is from RNAcentral. Lineage: Bacteria; Pseudomonadati; Pseudomonadota; Betaproteobacteria; Burkholderiales; Alcaligenaceae.
UGGCACGAGCGAGCAUUGCUUGCGAAGUGAUUGGAAGUGGUUCCAAGAAAAGCCUCUAAGCUUCAGCUGUACGAGACCGUACCGCAAACCGACACAGGUGGACGGGAUGAAUAUUCCAAGGCGCUUGAGAGAACUCAGGAGAAGGAACUCGGCAAAUUGAUACCGUAACUUCGGGAGAAGGUAUACCCCGGUAGUGUGAAGCGCCUGCGCGCUUAGCAUGAUGGGGUCGCAGAGAAUCGGUGGCUGCGACUGUUUAUUAAAAACACAGCACUCUGCAAAGACGAAAGUCGACGUAUAGGGUGUGACGCCUGCCCGGUGCCGGAAGGUUAAGUGAUGGGGUGCAAGCUCUUGAUCGAAGCCCCGGUAAACGGCGGCCGUAACUAUAACGGUCCUAAGGUAGCGAAAUUCCUUGUCGGGUAAGUUCCGACCUGCACGAAUGGCGUAACGAUGGCCACACUGUCUCCUCCUGAGACUCAGCGAAGUUGAAGUGUUUGUGAUGAUGCAAUCUACCCGCGGCUAGACGGAAAGACCCCAUGAACCUUUACUGUAGCUUUGCAUUGAUCUGUGAACCGGCCUGUGUAGGAUAGGUGGGAGGCUUUGAAGCGUGGUCGCUAGAUCACGUGGAGCCAUCCUUGAAAUACCACCCUGGUUUGUUUGCGGUUCUAACCUUGGUCCGUUAUCCGGAUCGGGGACAGUGCAUGGUGGGCAGUUUGACUGGGGCGGUCUCCUCCCAAAGUGUAACGGAGGAGUUCGAAGGUACGCUAGGUACGGUCGGAAAUCGUGCUGAUAGUGCAAUGGCAUAAGCGUGCUUGACUGUGAGACUGACAAGUCGAACAGGUGCGAAAGCAGGACAUAGUGAUCCGGUGGUUCUGAAUGGAAGGGCCAUCGCUCAACGGAUAAAAGGUACUCUGGGGAUAACAGGCUGAUACCGCCCAAGAGUUCAUAUCGACGGCGGUGUUUGGCACCUCGAUGUCGGCUCAUCUCAUCCUGGGGCUGUAGCCGGUCCCAAGGGUAUGGCUGUUCGCCAUUUAAAGAGGUACGUGAGCUGGGUUUAAAACGUCGUGAGACAGUUUGGUCCCUAUCUGCCGUGGGCGUUGGAUACUUGACGGAGCCUGCUCCUAGUACGAGAGGACCGGAGUGGACGUACCUCUGGUGUACCGGUUGUCAUGCCAAUGGCAUUGCCGGGUAGCUAAGUACGGAAGAGAUAACCGCUGAAGGCAUCUAAGCGGGAAACUCGUCUGAAGAUAAGGUAUCCCGGGGACUUGAUCCCCCUGAAGGGUCGUUCGAGACCAGGACGUUGAUAGGUCGGGUGUGGAAGCGCAGUAAUGCGUUAAGCUAACCGAUACUAAUUGCCCGUGAGGCUUGAUC